GACGAACGCUGGCGGCGUGCCUAAUACAUGCAAGUCGAGCGAAGUUUUUCUGGUUCUUGCACUAGAAAAACUUAGCGGCGCACGUGUUAGUAACACGUAAAGAACCUGCCUCUUAGACUGGGACAACUAUUGGUAACGAUAUCUUAUACCGGAUAACAGUAUUUCUCGCUUUAUAUAUAUUUAAAAGUUGUUUAUUCUAACACUUUGAGAUUGCUUUUCGUUUCAUUAGCUAGUUGGUUGGGUAAAGGCCCACCAAGGCGACGAUGCAUAGCCGACCUGAGAGGGAGAUCGGCAAAACGGGAACUGAGACACGGACAAGACGACUACGGGAGGAAGCAGUAGGGAAUAUGCCGCAAUGGGCGAAAGCAUGACGGAGCAAAGCCGCGUGAGUGAAGAAGGAUUUCGGUUCGUAAAGAUCUGUUGUUAGGGAAGAAUGGAUAUGUAGUAAAAAUAAAUGUAAGAGACGGUAACGAAACAGAAAGCAACGGCUAACUACGUG
This 499-nucleotide ribosomal RNA is filed under the name uncultured bacterium. RNAcentral's name for it is "partial 16S ribosomal RNA". It matches the Rfam family "Bacterial small subunit ribosomal RNA", at positions 28 to 507 of the family's 1533-position model. The record is from RNAcentral.